This 352-nucleotide long non-coding RNA is filed under the name Capsicum annuum. RNAcentral describes it as "long non-coding RNA (CANN_LNC012311)". The record is from RNAcentral. Lineage: Eukaryota; Viridiplantae; Streptophyta; Magnoliopsida; Solanales; Solanaceae.
UUUUUUAAAAAAAUAAUGUUCUCCUGUGUAUUAAUUUUGAGUAUUAUUAAUGUCUUCUUUAAUAUAUUUUAUCAACUUAUAUAGAAUCAAAUAUAUUUUAUAUUAUGUUAUGUAUAAUUAACGAAUGACACCUUAUGACAUGGAGCAACUUCAGCUUAUCGAAGACAUGAUCUUAGAUAGAAAGUUGUGGAGGAGGCGGAUUAGGGUAGAAGGUUAGUACAAGUUUAGGUUGUUGUUUCUUUUGUUGUAUUACUUGGUGUCUCUUGAUUAUGGUAUUAGCGGAUAUUGUUGAUUUCGAUUGUAUCUUGUUCUCUUACUAUUCUUUGUACAGAUUAUUUUAUUGUGAGCCGGG